CCUACGGGAGGCAGCAGUGGGGAAUAUUGGGCAAUGGGCGCAAGCCUGACCCAGCAACGCCGCGUGAAGGAUGAAGGUUUUCGGAUUGUAAACUUCUGUCGCGAGGGACGAAGAAUGACGGUACCUCGUAAGAAAGCCCCGGCUAACUACGUGCCAGCAGCCGCGGUAAUACGUAGGGGGCAAGCGUUAUCCGGAUUUACUGGGUGUAAAGGGAGCGUAGACGGCGGUGCAAGCCAGAUGUGAAAGCCUGGGGCUCAACCCCGGGACUGCAUUUGGAACUGUGCUGCUAGAGUGUCGGAGAGGCAGGCGGAAUUCCUAGUGUAGCGGUGAAAUGCGUAGAUAUUAGGAGGAACACCAGUGGCGAAGGCGGCCUGCUGGACGAUGACUGACGUUGAGGCUCGAAAGCGUGGGGAGCAAACAGGAUUAGAUACCCUAGUAGUC
This 441-nucleotide ribosomal RNA is filed under the name uncultured bacterium. RNAcentral's name for it is "partial 16S ribosomal RNA". It matches the Rfam family "Bacterial small subunit ribosomal RNA", at positions 338 to 795 of the family's 1533-position model. The record is from RNAcentral.